Molecule: ribosomal RNA, 468 nt
Filed under: uncultured bacterium
Lineage: Bacteria
Description: partial 16S ribosomal RNA
Rfam family: Bacterial small subunit ribosomal RNA
Source: RNAcentral
GACGAACGCUGGCGGCGUGCUUAACACAUGCAAGUCGAACGGAAAGGCCCUGCUUUUGUGGGGUGCUCGAGUGGCGAACGGGUGAGUAACACGUGAGUAACCUGCCCUUGACUUUGGGAUAACUUCAGGAAACUGGGGCUAAUACCGGAUAGGAGCUCCUGCUGCAUGGGGGGGGUCGGAAAGUUUCGGCGGUUGGGGAUGGACUCGCGGCUUAUCAGCUUGUUGGUGGGGUAGUGGCUUACCAAGGCUUUGACGGGUAGCCGGCCUGAGAGGGUGACCGGCGACAUGGGGACUGAGAGACGGCCCAGACUCCUACGGGAGGCAGCAGUGGGGAAUAUUGCACAAUGGUCGGAAGCCUGAUGCAGCAACGCCGCGUGCGGGAUGACGGCCUUCGGGUUGUAAACCGCUUUCGCCUGUGACGAAGCGGGAGUGACGGUAAUGGGUAAAGAAGCACCGGCUAACUACGUG